CGGCGCAGAGGAAAAGUGGCCCAAGGUUAGAGUCCAUACAGACUCCUGGACACUGGGGAAUGGCUUGGCUGUUGUCCUGGGGACCAGAAGGAGAGAAUUUGGAAGAUUGAGAACAAAGUAGGGAAGAAACUCGUGAAUAGAUUUCCAAGUCAGUCGUGAAGCCCAGAACCCUUCUACUGCCUGUCAGUGGCCAGAAGGGACAGUCCACAACCACGCAGAGACAGCGGCUCAGCGGGGUUGCCAGCCAGCCUGUCCCCCGCCACCGCAGAGCCGGACUGGAACUUGGACCGAGCCGCCAGGGGCGGGUGGACCUCCUGCCGCCGAGUGAGUCACGCCGUUGCUCAACUCCCAGCUCCAGGAAGGAGGCCCGGCCGGGCCCUGCUGUGGCCUCUUCCCUCAGCUGGCCCAAUGGCCACUUGGUGGGAAGUGAUGGCCAUGGACUCUUUCCACCCUGGAACCAGCAGAGAUUUUUCUCGUCUAGAAGUGACCCAUGGUCAAGGGCAGCAGAGAACCUGGCCUUCACUGACAGGGACGUGACGGCUCCUCAGCCACCCCCGCCCCCCGCCGAGGACCCAGCCCAAGGAACACCAGUGACAUGAAGCCCAGAACGAGACUCCGCUAAUCCUGGGGCCCUCAGGUCCCAGGGCUGACCCUGUUGGGACCGUUUGGGGCACACAGGCUGAGCGUGUACCUGGGACGAAAGGACCUAUCAGUCACCGCAGCUACAGGUGGCUGGCGCGUCCCACGAGUGGACACGUCCUGUGCUCUAUCUCACUGACCCCCAUGAGGCGGGUGCCAAGUUCAUUCCACUGGACCCAGGAGGGACCUCUGUAAAAACUUCACAGAGGUUUCAGGUUGGCCUAGGGCCACACAGCGACAGAGCAGAGGGACUCAAGUCUGGGGCGUCCAAUGCCAAGCCACACGCUCAACCUGUGUGGCUUCUGUCCCCUGGAGGUGGCAGGAGCUAAGAGGGUUGCGGACCCGCAAAGGAGAUUUUAAUUUGAACAAUGGACAGUUCCCUGGGACCUGGCUGACGCCUCCCAUUAAGAUGCUCUAGAAUCAGAUUUGCAUAAUGGGUCGAGAAGGUCGUUGGGAAAAGGGCCAAAUCCAUAACCCUGGGCCACGGAGUCCACAAGUGGGUUAGAAGACACAGAAAGGAGGCGACCUGACCUCUCUUCCGCUCUACCCUAGCCAGCGACAGCCCUCAAGUUUCUUGACCUCCAACAAAACAAAACCACAAAACUUACCUAUUCCAGAUUUGAGGAUUUAUGGGUUCACAGUUAAAUGAUCUGAUAGAUAUUAAGAAAACUGGGAAUGUCUUUGGGUCCCAGAUCCCCUUCGAGCCAUCUAGAAGGGUCUGUGUUUCUUAGCAAGCCUCAGUAACGUGGCCUACUAAGAUCUGCCUCCACUUCCUGUUGCCACGACACAGCUCAGGGACUGUGUGGCCUUGAACAAGCAGUGAACAGAUUUGGUUCAACUGUCUGCGGGGUUCUGCGAUCUGGUUUGGGUUCGGCCGACCUCGGCUGGACUGGCUCGUGCAUCUUCAGUCAGUUGUGGGUUGUGUGGACGUCCUGCUGACCUUGACUGGGCUCACACCCGUGUCUAGUGUCUCAGUUGGUCUGGGAUGGCCUUGUCCAAGGUCACUGGGCAGUUGGGUCUGGGUGCUAGUCUCAUUCUCCAACAGGACAGCCUGAGCACAUUCUCAAGGCAGGUUAAUCUAUACAUUAAGUGUUGUAAGAGAUGAACAAUAAUAACUAAAAAUAAAAGAGAGCAAUUUUAACAAUUGCUCCUGUGUUUUGAGACCA
Molecule: long non-coding RNA, 1805 nt
Organism: Marmota monax (woodchuck)
Lineage: Eukaryota; Metazoa; Chordata; Mammalia; Rodentia; Sciuridae
Exons: 2
Source: RefSeq, a predicted model, not a curated record